UGGUGGAGUGAUUUGUCUGGUUGAUUCCGUUAACGAACGAGACCUUAACCUGCUAACUAGUCGUUGCUUGCAUAAAGCAAUUGACUUCUUAGAGGGACUAUGCGUUCUAGCGCAUGGAAGUUUGAGGCAAUAACA
RNAcentral lists this ribosomal RNA (135 nucleotides) under uncultured eukaryote. RNAcentral describes it as "partial 18S ribosomal RNA". It matches the Rfam family "Eukaryotic small subunit ribosomal RNA", at positions 1299 to 1458 of the family's 1831-position model. The record is from RNAcentral.